GGGUUGUGAGGUUAAGCGACUAAGCGUACACGGUGGAUGCCCCGGCAGUCAGAGGCGAUGAAGGACGUGCUAAUCUGCGAUAAGCGUCGGUAAGGUGAUAUGAACCGUUAUAACCGGCGAUUUCCGAAUGGGGAAACCCAGUGUGAUUCGUCACACUAUCAUUAACUGAAUCCAUAGGUUAAUGAGGCGAACCGGGGAACUGAAACAUCUAAGUACCCCGAGGAAAAGAAAUCAACCGAGAUUCCCCAGUAGCGGCGAGCGAACGGGGAGGAGCCCAGAGCCUGAAUCAGUGUGUGUGUUAGUGGAAGCGUCUGGAAAGGCGCGCGAUACAGGGUGACAGCCCCGUACACAAAAAUGCACAUGCUGUGAGCUCGAUGAGUAGGGCGGGACACGUGGUAUCCUGUCUGAAUAUGGGGGACCAUCCUCCAAGGCUAAAUACUCCUGACUGACCGAUAGUGAACCAGUACCGUGAGGGAAAGGCGAAAAGAACCCCGGCGAGGGGAGUGAAAAGAACCUGAAACCGUGUACGUACAAGCAGUGGGAGCCUCUUAAUGGGGUGACUGCGUACCUUUGUAUAAUGGGUCAGCGACUUAUAUUCUGUAGCAAGGUUAACCGAAUAGGGGAGCCGAAGGGAAACCGAGUCUUAACUGGGCGUUAAGUUGCAGGGUAUAGACCCGAAACCCGGUGAUCUAGCCAUGGGCAGGUUGAAGGUUGGGUAACACUAACUGGAGGACCGAACCGACUAAUGUUGAAAAAUUAGCGGAUGACUUGUGGCUGGGGGUGAAAGGCCAAUCAAACCGGGAGAUAGCUGGUUCUCCCGAAAGCUAUUUAGGUAGCGCCUCGUGAAUUCAUCUCCGGGGUAGAGCACUGUUUCGGCAAGGGGUCAUCCCGACUUACCAACCCGAUGCAAACUGCGAAUACCGGAGAAUGUUAUCACGGGAGACACACGGCGGGUGCUAACGUCCGUCGUGAAGAGGGAAACAACCCAGACCGCCAGCUAAGGUCCCAAAGUCAUGGUUAAGUGGGAAACGAUGUGGGAAGGCCCAGACAGCCGGGAUGUUGGCUUAGAAGCAGCCAUCAUUUAAAGAAAGCGUAAUAGCUCACUGGUCGAGUCGGCCUGCGCGGAAGAUGUAACGGGCUAAACCAUGCACCGAAGCUGCGGCAGCGACACUAUGUGUUGUUGGGUAGGGGAGCGUUCUGUAAGCCUGUGAAGGUGGCCUGUGAGGGUUGCUGGAGGUAUCAGAAGUGCGAAUGCUGACAUAAGUAACGAUAAAGCGGGUGAAAAGCCCGCUCGCCGGAAGACCAAGGGUUCCUGUCCAACGUUAAUCGGGGCAGGGUGAGUCGACCCUAAGGCGAGGCCGAAAGGCGUAGUCGAUGGGAAACAGGUUAAUAUUCCUGUACUUGGUGUUACUGCGAAGGGGACGGAGAAGGCUAUGUUGGCCGGGCGACGGUUGUCCCGGUUUAAGCGUGUAGGCUGGUUUUCCGUGCAAAUCCGGAAAACCAAGGCUGAGGCGUGAUGACGAGGCACUACGGUGCUGAAGUGACAAAUGCCCUGCUUCCGUGAAAGCCUCUAAGCAUCAGGUAACAUCAAAUCGUACCCCAAACCGACACAGGUGGUCAGGUAGAGAAUACCAAGGCGCUUGAGAGAACUCGGGUGAAGGAACUAGGCAAAAUGGUGCCGUAACUUCGGGAGAAGGCACGCUGAUAUGUAGGUGAAGCGACUUGCUCGUGGAGCUGAAAUCAGUCGAAGAUACCAGCUGGCUGCAACUGUUUAUUAAAAACACAGCACUGUGCAAACACGAAAGUGGACGUAUACGGUGUGACGCCUGCCCGGUGCCGGAAGGUUAAUUGAUGGGGUUAGCGGUAACGCGAAGCUCUUGAUCGAAGCCCCGGUAAACGGCGGCCGUAACUAUAACGGUCCUAAGGUAGCGAAAUUCCUUGUCGGGUAAGUUCCGACCUGCACGAAUGGCGUAAUGAUGGCCGUGCUGUCUCCACCCGAGACUCAGUGAAAUUGAACUCGCUGUGAAGAUGCAGUGUACCCGCGGCAAGACGGAAAGACCCCGUGAACCUUUACUAUAGCUUGACACUGAACAUUGAGCCUUGAUGUGUAGGAUAGGUGGGAGGCUUUGAAGUGUGGACGCCAGUCUGCAUGGAGCCGACCUUGAAAUACCACCCUUUAAUGUUUGAUGUUCUAACGUUGGCCCCUAAUCGGGGUUGCGGACAGUGUCUGGUGGGUAGUUUGACUGGGGCGGUCUCCUCCUAAAGAGUAACGGAGGAGCACGAAGGUUGGCUAAUCCGGUCGGACAUCAGGAGGUUAGUGCAAUGGCAUAAGCCAGCUUGACUGCGAGCGUGACGGCGCGAGCAGGUGCGAAAGCAGGUCAUAGUGAUCCGGUGGUUCUGAAUGGAAGGGCCAUCGCUCAACGGAUAAAAGGUACCCGGGGAUAACAGGCUGAUACCGCCCAAGAGUUCAUAUCGACGGCGGUGUUUGGCACCUCGAUGUCGGCUCAUCACAUCCCGGGCUGAAGUAGGUCCCAAGGGUAUGGCUGUUCGCCAUUUAAAGUGGUACGCGAGCUGGGUUUAGAACGUCGUGAGACAGUUCGGUCCCUAUCUGCCGUGGGCGCUGGAGAACUGAGGGGGGCUGCUCCUAGUACGAGAGGACCGGAGUGGACGCAUCACUGGUGUUCGGGUUGUCAUGCCAAUGGCACUGCCCGGUAGCUAAAUGCGGAAGAGAUAAGUGCUGAAAGCAUCUAAGCACGAAACUUGCCCCGAGAUGAGUUCUCCUGAGACUUAGAGUCUCCUGAAGGAACGUUGAAGACGACGACGUUGAUAGGCCGGGUGUGUAAGCGCAGCGAUGCGUUGAGCUAACCGGUACUAAUGAACCGUGAGGCUUAACCUUACAACGCCGAAG
Molecule: ribosomal RNA, 2908 nt
Filed under: Escherichia coli
Lineage: Bacteria; Pseudomonadati; Pseudomonadota; Gammaproteobacteria; Enterobacterales; Enterobacteriaceae
Description: 23S ribosomal RNA
Rfam family: Bacterial large subunit ribosomal RNA
Source: RNAcentral